Molecule: ribosomal RNA, 253 nt
Filed under: uncultured bacterium
Lineage: Bacteria
Description: partial 16S ribosomal RNA
Rfam family: Bacterial small subunit ribosomal RNA
Source: RNAcentral
UCCGGAGGUUGCGAUCGUUGUUCGGAUUUACUGGGCGUAAAGGGAGCGCAGGCGGUUUGCUAAGUCGAAAGUGAAAAUCCGGGGCUUAACCUCGGACCCGCUUUCGAUACUGACAGACUCGAGUACGCGAGAGGAAAGUGGAAUUCCAGGUGUAGCGGUGAAAUGCGUAGAUAUCUGGAGGAACACCAGUGGCGAAAGCGACUUUCUGGCGCGUUACUGACGCUGAGGCUCGAAAGCGUGGGGAGCGAACGGG